RNAcentral lists this long non-coding RNA (6536 nucleotides) under Canis lupus familiaris (dog). RNAcentral describes it as "lncRNA (ENSCAFG00000054471.1)". Lineage: Eukaryota; Metazoa; Chordata; Mammalia; Carnivora; Canidae. The record is from RNAcentral.
GAGAGAGAGAGAACACGUGAGCAUGUGAGUGAGGGGAGGAGCAGAGGGAGAGUAUCUCAUGCAGACUCCAAGCUGAGCACAGAGCCCAUCCAGGGCUCCACCUCACAACCCUGAGAUCAUGACCUGAGCCAAAACCAAGAGUCGGGGCUUACCUGCUGAGCUACCCGGGUGCCCCUUGUGCACCUAAGAUUUCUUACUGAUGGCACAAAACCUACUAACUUUAUCAGUAAUUCACCCUUACCCUAACCCAGCAAAGAAAGAAAGAAAAGGAUGAGGAAACAGGAGAGCAAAAGAAUUUUGAAAGCUCUGGUAAAUAAUUAAACUGGUAGCCGUAGAUUUACCAAAAUUGUCAAUAACAUCGCUUGCUUCCCCCACAGAAAUCCUCUAUCCCAAGUACCUCACAAAGCCUCUUCUGCAUUAAACGCCACAUGAACACAAAAACAUAACUGCUUCACAAGGUCGUCAUAGAGAAAUAGUGUGACUAAUCAUAAGUGUCCACUCAAACAGCCUUCAAUAGAAGUGCAAACAUCUCUUUCUAAAAGGAAUUUAAAAUGAUUGAGUCAUACAUUUUUGAAGCAAAAAUGAUCAUGUUUUACACAUUAAAAGUUAUGGGAAUUAACUCAAUCAUCUACAAAUGUAUUAAGAUCUACCUGUUUGUUGAAGUUCCACGUGUCAAAAAUCAGUAUUAUAUAUAUUAGUAUUUAUAGGACAUGUUAUUUUGAAUUAAUUUAUGUUUCCCUGGGCCACUGUUUUAUAGUCACCUUUGAUUAAAGUGCCUUAAAUUAAAUAUUAAUUGAAUAUAGUUUGAAACAAAGUUUCUUUGAGCCACACUGACCUCUAGAGACAUAGAGGGAUUACAAAGACACUCAGUGAAACCAAAUUCUGCCUUCACAAAAUCAGUGUGAAUAUAAUAAAAGGAUUUAUUUGGGGGCAUAAUGAUGGACUAUCCUCUGAGCUUCAUGCUAUACUCCAUUGAUUAGGCACACUGCAUUGCGUGUUAUUAAAUUUUCACUGCAAAGAUAAAAAGAAGGAGGCAAAGAGAAAGACUUUAGAGCUAAAAGGAGCUUGAAAAUAAUUGAAAUUGUUCAAAUCUAUACAAUGGAAAAGGCAAUGAACUACAUAUUCUGAGAUCUGAGUUCUAGUUCUGUUUUGUCUGCAUAAUACCUGUGUGACCUUGGGCAGAUUAUUUUUCUCCUGGAAGCUUCCUUUUUCCUAUCAACUCAAAGAGGGCUUGACCUACUCUGUGCUAAGUGCAAACUAAGAAAUGUUAACAAUUUCUUUUCUAAUCUUAAAAACAUCCACCUUUUUUUAAAAAAACAUCUUCUAUUGACUCCGUAAUUCAAUAUUUAGACUGGUCAGGGCAGUAUCUUAUUGCUGAAGAUGAUUAUAGGAGUUUCCCAAGGUAAUGUAUUUUCUCACAUUUCUGGAAGCCAGAAGUCCACAAUCAAGGUGUCAGCAGGGCCACGGCUCCCUCGGAGGCUCUGGAUUGAAUCCUCCCCUUGCCUCAGUUUCCAGAGGAGCCAUGAGCUGUCCUCGUUCCUCGGCUUGUAGCCACAUCACUCCGACCUCGUCCUUCAUCGUCGCACGCUGCUCUCCCUGUGGCUCCCCUCUUCUUACACGGACACCAGUCACACUGGGUCAAGGGGCUGCCUGACUCUGGUGUGACACCCCCACACACACUUAACUCAUUAUACCUGCAAUGACGUAUUUCCAAAAAGGUCACAUUCUGAGUUAUUGGGGUUAGUACUUCAUAUAUCUUUUGGGGGAACAGGAUUUCUUACAGCAAUGACAGGGGAAAUGUGUAGUCAGGGAAAUAGGACGGUUUUAAGAGAAGUGAUGUCAUUGGCAAUCCGGGACAGAUGUACAAUGAAUGCUUUCCUUGAGUGAGGAGGUCUCUACUGGAGAACUCCCUGGCAAGGCAACAUUUCUUCCGUGAAGAAAGGACACGGCCUAAGGCCAGCAAAGGUGGCUCAGACGCGAGCCCGCGUGGUCGCUGAAGGGAAGCCUGCUGCAGAGUAGCUGCUUCGUGGAGCCCAGGCUGGCCUCGGAGGCCUUGUCCUGCGGAGGUCCCCGCCGCGAGGAAGCUCUGAAAAUCCGCUUUGCCCUUCUGAGUCAGGAACAUUUUUAAGGAAUGUUUGUGUUUUCCUCUUAACCUUUGAUAAAUGGGAAGGAAACGGAGAAGAUAACCCUGGAAAAGCUUGUACCGCCAGACAGCAAGGCCGCUGUAGCUCUCACAGAGGACUGGGGCGUCAGAGGACUCAGGAGACCACAGCAAGGGGUGUGCACUGGCCAGGGAUGCUGGAAGUUGUGCAUCGAUAAGAAUAACAACAACAGUUGAUUAAAACACAUCAAAUUUAUUUAAAUCUCAUUAGUCCCAAAUAAUACCUAAGUGGAGGUUGGGGGAAGAAAGCCCUUAUUUUUCUCUUAGAGACUGAUAGGAAACCACGUCUUAUACAUAAAGGGGAAAAAAUAAAAUACUGAUUCUGCCUCUACCACUCAAACUAUACCACCAUUUUAGCCAAACAGUGGACAAGGGCAUGUGUUUCUUUAGAGAAGAACUUCAGUAAAUAAAAGUAAUGAUAUGAUAUCACCAGUAUGUGACUUCUGAGGAACUGGAGGCUGCUGGGAGACACGUGGUGUCUAAGAACAAAGACUACGAACACUAAAAACAAUACUUCUGAGUAUCAAUAAGUGACACAUGUCCAAUGUGCCCUCCUACCAGAGGAUAAGCAAACGCCGAGAUACCGAGAAGCAAACCAAAUGAGAACACCUCGUGGAGUGGAUGCAGCUCCGUGGUGAAUGUGUUUGUUCUCUGCAUAUUCUUUGAAUGAGCAACCAAUUGACAAUCUGUGACCCAUAAACUCCUAGUUGUACAAUUGGGAACAUGUGUUCGUUACACCCAGAUGAAAAUAAAAACCUGCCAGUGCUUCCGGUUUAAGAAGGAAUUCUCCUACUCUCUCUCUCACCCACAAGCUUACUUCUCGUACUUUCUGAAACCUCACUGAAAACUGCAAACGAGCCUCCAAGGGGGUGGGGGGCAACUAAAGGACAGGGAAUCCCAGACUUCACAGAUCUUUGGGAAACAUUAAGCAGAGGAAAGGAAGUUGGGAGGACAUAGGGCACGGAGCCUAGGGGGUGCAGAACCUCCAGACACAGCAGGCAGCACAGGUGAGAAGCCAACCCCUGCCCUCUCACUCCCCUGAAGCGCAGUCUGUCACAGUAAAUGCGCCGCCUAGUUGUAGGGCGAUGCCAGUCAGGAUCCCUACUCCGGGGGAGACCCUCAUACCACGGCAGAGAAACCUGCUCUAGCCACAGAGGCAUCGAUCACUGAGGGAAUAAAAGAAAUAGGAGCUUAACGAUAUUAUUUACAGGGACAAGGGUAGCCUUUAAGAACCAAAUAAUAUAACAGGGGGGCGGGGGGAGAAAAGAAAGGCAGUGACAAAGGGAAAAAGAACAUGCUAGGUAGAGGGACAAACAAAAAGUGAGAGAGAAAAUGACUCACAUUUGGGAACUGGGAGUAUUUCAGCAAAGCCAGUCUUUGGAGUGUCAGGGAGUUGAUGAGAGGGGAGGAGUCUGGAGAAGAAACUAAAGGCCAGAGCUUCGUCAUACCAAGGAGCAGCUCCAGCUCUAUCAUGAAAAUCCCAAGGACUUUUAAACAUACAUAAUAAUGUGGUCAGAUUUUGCAUUUCAGAAACAGGCCUCUGGCUUCUGUAUGGGGGUUUCUGGUGAAUAAGUCUGGAGACAAGGAAACCACUUAUGUGGCUGCUGAGAUCAUCGGGGAACAAAAGAGAACCAAUCGCUAAACUAAGAAAUCGGGCCUGCAGGAAUGCUUUGCCAACUUGAGCACGCACCCAAAUCACCUGGGAUACUUGUUAAACUACGGUCCCGGGGAUCCCUGAGUGGUGCAGUGGUUUAGCGCCUGCCUUUGGCCCAGGGCGCGAUCCUGGAGACCCGGGAUCGAAUCCCACAUCGGGCUCCCGGUGCAUAGAGCCUGCUUCUCCCUCUGCCUGUGUCUCUGCCUCUCUCUCUCUCUCUGUGACUAUCAUACAUAAAUAAAUAAAUAAAUAAAUAAAUAAAUAAAUAAAUAAAUAAAUAAAAUAAAAUAAACUACGGGUCCCUUUAAGCAAGAGUGUCUCCUUCAGUAUGUUUCAGGUGGGCCUCAAGAAUUUGCAUUUCGAGUAAGUUCCCAGGUGAUGCCAGUGCUACUGGUCCAGGGGCCCCACUUUGAGCACCACAGGACUGUAGGAACAGAAGGAGAUGUGAGACAGCAUGGUGUUGAAGAGAAAGGACGAGUCAUGGUUCUCUACUUUCUACCUCCAGCCACCGGGACUUGGUGGUGUCCGUCAUCAAGGCAGAGAAUACGGAGGAAAAGCAUAGCUGAUGGGGGCAGGGAAGUGGUGCAUAGCGAGAGAGCCAGGGAAGCACUUACCAAAUUUGACUUCCGCAUUGAACGUCCCAGUGGAAUCAUACAGCAGGCAAUUCGCAGAGUUCUGCACAAGGGCAGGCAGAUGUGGGUUAGAAGGAAGAUGUAAGAACCCGCGGCAUAUGGAGGAUAAAGUCAUGAAGAACAAAGUCAGUGGGUUACGUGAGAAGUGAAGAGGUUAAAUCUUGGGGAACAUAAAAUUGAGGAAGGAAAGGAACUGGCCCCACUACAGUCCACUGAGAACGACGAAGUGGAGGAUAUCCCAUGGCUACAUGUUGGUCAACGCGAAAGAUUUAAAAUAAUCAGAGCCUAUCAGUAUAGGCCCAGUUACAUAAAUAGGACAGGCUCUGCAGUAGAAUUCUUUGCAGCUGUUAAAAAAAAAAAAGGAAUAAUAAGUACUUUACUAAUAGGAAAAAUAUCCUAAAUCUAUAUCAAUAACUGGGAAAAAAGCCAGUUGCAGAAUAGUGCGUUUAGCCAACCGUUUGAUGAAAUAUAUAGAUAUGUGUAUAUAUUUGCUGUGAUAGACACAGAGUAUCUCUGGAAAGAUACACAAGAGAUUUACACUCAGGGGUGGGGGACAUAGUGGGGAAUAUGGUGACUGAGGCAGAAAACUCAAGACAGAAUUUUUACCCCAAAGUCCAAAUGCCCCAUCAGCCACCAGGUAUAGACCUAAUGUUAAGAUGGAACCAGGGCAGCCCCGGUGGCCCAGCGGUUUAGCGCCGCCUUCAGCCCAGGGCGUGAUCCUGGGGACCUGGGAUCAAGUCCUGCGUUGGGCUCCCCGCAGGGAGCCCGCUUCUCCCUCUGCCUGGGUCUCUGCCUCUCUCUGUGUCUCUCAUUAAUAAGUAAAUAAAAUUUUUUUAAAAAAUGGAAGCAACAGAGCCUGAUGCUAUUGAAUAUUUAAAUCACAAAAACUAUUCUUCUGAUUUCCUGAUCACCCAAUUCUGAAACUUCCUCCAGAGACUUCAUUCUGCAGACUGUCCAGCUGACAAGGGUAUAGCAAGUUGUAGAGUGAAGUGAUCACCGUCGCUCUACUAUGGCUUUAGGUAUCCAUCUCCUGCAAGCUUUGCCAACUCGAGGCACCAUCCUGGGGUUCCAUCAAUUCUGGGGGAUCACAUGGAGAUUCUACAGGGGUAGGGGCUGAAUCUUGGAUUUGAAUAAAUUAACCAAGGUAAAUUCUUCCUUGUUUGAUUUCUUUUUUUUUUUUUUUAAUAUUUAUUUAUCUAUUCAUGAGAGACAGAGAGAGAGAGAGGCAGAGGGAGAAGCAGGCUCCCUGCGGGGCCGGAUGCAGGACUCGAUUCCCAAUCCUGGGAUCAGGCCCGGAGCUGAAGGCAGACGCUCAAGCACAAGCCACCCAGGUGUCCCCCUUGUUAGACUUCUUGGCAGUCAGUCAGCUGGUCCCCCCAGCCACACGCCACCAGCACCAGGAUGUAAAAUCCAAGUGUCUAGAAAGAACGAAGUUUGUGUAUAGUAUCCCUUACCUUAUCCCUUACCUUAUCUCUAUGACACAGACGUCCUUGACUGACACCCAAUUUACCAAUCCACUGGUGAAUUCCCUGGAACUGUGAGCUCCGCCCUCUCUGAGCCACAUGGCCUUCCCAGAGAUCACCAGGAUAGUUCCACCAAGUAGGUCUUCCUGCCGAGAAUGAGAACUACACCGUGUAGGUAAGUGUAGACUUGCCAGGACCCACUACCAAACCAUCAACUUCCUGAGGAAAAGAGCUGCCUAAUGGUCUUUGUAUUCCAGAGAGGUAGUAGGGUACCUCACGCAGCGUAGACAUUCGACACGCUCCCCUCGCGUUGCCCUGAAUUCCCUGCUAAUAUAUUACCUGCCCAGAUAAGGCAAUUACUUAAGCCACUUUAAUCAAGGUCCUUACAGAAUUCUCUUUCAGGUGUGGCUUCUAAUCUAGUAAGGGAGAUAUUUUUGCCUGUAGGCCUUUUGACACCCUUUAAAUGAAAUCAGAAAUGAAGCCAGUUACUGAAACCACUUAUACAAUCUGCUUCGAUAAUAUACUGUUAUCUGGCAAGGUCUGAAAAUGGGUUUUCUAUUUUAGGUCAUAGAGACUCUCGACGUUUCAACAUACAUGAAAUAUAUAGAUGGAUAUUUUCCAAAUCG